Molecule: ribosomal RNA, 404 nt
Filed under: uncultured prokaryote
Description: bacterial SSU rRNA
Rfam family: Bacterial small subunit ribosomal RNA
Source: RNAcentral
UGGGGAAUAUUGGGCAAUGGGGGCAACCCUGACCCAGCGACGCCGCGUGGGUGAAGAAAUCCCUCGGGAUGUAAAGCCCUGUUGUAUGGGAAGAGCAGAAGACGGUACCAUACGAGGAAGCCCCGGCAAACUACGUGCCAGCAGCCGCGGUAAUACGGAGGGGGCAAGCGUUGUCCGGAAUUACUGGGCGUAAAGCGCACGCAGGCUGAAUUAUAAGUCGGUAGUCAAAUACGGAGGCUCAACCUUCGUCUAUCUAUCGAUACUGUAAAUCUAGAGUAUGGGAGAGGGAAGCGGAAUUCCCGGUGGAGCGGUGAAAUGCGUAGAUAUCGGGAGGAACACCAGUGGCGAAGGCGGCUUCCUGGCACAAUACUGACGCUCAUGUGCGAAAGCUAGGGCAGCGAACG